This 1565-nucleotide long non-coding RNA is filed under the name Lactuca sativa (garden lettuce). Its description in RNAcentral is "long non-coding RNA (LSAT_LNC007767)". Lineage: Eukaryota; Viridiplantae; Streptophyta; Magnoliopsida; Asterales; Asteraceae. The record is from RNAcentral.
ACGGCUAAUAAGUUAUCACCAUGAUAUAUUUCAUUUGUUGUACAGUAUAUAGAAAAUGGGAAACGGUUGUUUUUUAUGCAUCCACAUAUUUUUAAAGGUAAUUGUCUAUUAUACCCUUCGUUUCGUUUAGUAGAGAUCAGAAAAUCAAAUCUCUUUUUCUCACCAUAAAACCAAACCCUCAUACGUUUCCCUCUAUUCUCCGAUGGUUCUUCCCAGACUGAAACCUGACCACCAUUUGUCUCUGUACGAUAUUGUCUCCCUAAACCUUCUCCUCCUGAUGCAGUCUGCAACGUGUUUUGAACAAGAAAUCACGAUGUUCAGCCAAGUAAAAGGUAAGUGAUUCACUAAUCCCUUCUUCACUAAUCAACAACAUGUUCUGAUUAAACACGGUGCAAUGUUCAGCCAGUGAUUCACUGUGUAUGUUUCAUUUGCCACCUGGUUUAGAGUUUAAACUCUCAUGUUAUUAACAAAACCUGUGAAACCCACUUCAAUUUCAAUAAACACACGGACCUCACAUUCCGGCAAGAAAGUCAAAGAAGCCAAAAAAAAAUCGGAAAGAAAAUCAGUUUGUGCGAUGUAACGGUGCAUUUUUGCUUGAUUAUGCCCACCUGCAACUGAUUCUAAUAUGUGUUAUGUAAUGGUGUUUUUUGCAUCUAGAAAGUGCUUUGUAGACGGCCUUCUCUGGCGAACGUGAUUUUUCUCCGGCAAAUAUCUGGUUCGUGUUUAGAGUUUUUCCGGUUGCUGUGUAUCUUGAUGGUACCUUCGUAAGAGAAGAGAUGGAGGGAGAUAAAGUGAACCUAUAUAAGUAAACCUUAGUUAUUUAUUGGGCCAUUGAGUUUUCCUGGGUUUUUUAAUUUUUGGUGGUAUGACAGGAAAGAGAAGGAGAUGGAGACGAAACGGAGAUAAACUAAGUAGGGUCCAUUUUUUUUAUAAAACAGGGGCAUAAUUGUCAAUUUACAUAAGAAAUCUGUGGAAAUAUUAAAAAAGUGUACGUGGAUAUAUCAGCUCCCAUAGAAAAUGGGUGGACUAAAAUGUAGAUAAUGAAUAUAUUUAGGUGGUGGGGAGAUGGAUAACAAAUUAAUGGUCACAAAAAGAGCAUCCCAAAUUUAGUAAAUACGAUUGGUUUUCGAUCAUCACCUCAAUCUCAAUCUCACUAUCUGCUCUCUUUCUUUUUUCCAUUCCUCUUUUUUUUUCUUCAAUUCCUUCAUGUCUACACUGCCCUCUCUCUUAUUAGCAAAACUUCGAUACCAAUUAAAGACAGGUAAUUAUAAGACUUAUUUCUCAUCAACGCUCUUAUUUCAUCUAAAACCCUAUUCAUGCAAAUAUUGGCAUAAAUAAUCAAUCAAUUGAUUGAUUACUAUGAUGAACAUCAUAAAUAAUGUUAUGAUGAAUAUCAUAAAUAAUUAUAAGAAUAAUUUAUGAUGAGCAUCAAUGCAUAUAUAUGUGAAGAUUUGUCAUAAAUAAUCAAAAUUAUUGGAUUUUAUGAUAUCACCGUAAAUAAUUAAAUAUGUUGUAGUGCAUAUUUCAUUUGAUAAAUUCAAAUAUAUAUAUAUAUAUAUAUAUAU